AUUGAACGCUGGCGGCAGGCCUAACACAUGCAAGUCGAACGGUAACAGGAAGCAGCUUGCUGCUUUGCUGACGAGUGGCGGACGGGUGAGUAAUGUCUGGGAAACUGCCUGAUGGAGGGGGAUAACUACUGGAAACGGUAGCUAAUACCGCAUAACGUCGCAAGACCAAAGAGGGGGACCUUAGGGCCUCUUGCCAUCGGAUGUGCCCAGAUGGGAUUAGCUAGUAGGUGGGGUAACGGCUCACCUAGGCGACGAUCCCUAGCUGGUCUGAGAGGAUGACCAGCCACACUGGAACUGAGACACGGUCCAGACUCCUACGGGAGGCAGCAGUGGGGAAUAUUGCACAAUGGGCGAAAGCCUGAUGCAGCCAUGCCGCGUGUAUGAAGAAGGCCUUCGGGUUGUAAAGUACUUUCAGCGGGGAGGAAGGGAGUAAAGUUAAUACCUUUGCUCAUUGACGUUACCCGAAGAAGAAGCACCGGCUAACUACGUG
RNAcentral lists this ribosomal RNA (490 nucleotides) under uncultured bacterium. Its description in RNAcentral is "partial 16S ribosomal RNA". It matches the Rfam family "Bacterial small subunit ribosomal RNA", at positions 30 to 507 of the family's 1533-position model. The record is from RNAcentral.